GACGAACGCUGGCGGCGUGCCUAAUGCAUGCAAGUCGAACGCUGAAGCUUGGUGCUUGCACCGAGCGGAUGAGUUGCGAACGGGUGAGUAACGCGUAGGUAACCUGCCUGGUAGCGGGGGAUAACUAUUGGAAACGAUAGCUAAUACCGCAUAAGAGUAGAUGUUGCAUGACAUUUGCUUAAAAGGUGCAAUUGCAUCACUACCAGAUGGACCUGCGUUGUAUUAGCUAGUUGGUGAGGUAACGGCUCACCAAGGCAACGAUACAUAGCCGACCUGAGAGGGUGAUCGGCCACACUGGGACUGAGACGCGGCCCAGACUCCUACGGGAGGCAGCAGUAGGGAAUCUUCGGCAAUGGACGGAAGUCUGACCGAGCAACGCCGCGUGAGUGAAGAAGGUUUUCGGAUCGUAAAGCUCUGUUGUAAGAGAAGAACGAGUGUGAGAGUGGAAAGUUCACACUGUGACGGUAGCUUACCAGAAAGGGACGGCUAACUACGUG
RNAcentral lists this ribosomal RNA (497 nucleotides) under uncultured bacterium. RNAcentral describes it as "partial 16S ribosomal RNA". It matches the Rfam family "Bacterial small subunit ribosomal RNA", at positions 28 to 507 of the family's 1533-position model. The record is from RNAcentral.